GUAGUAGUAUGGAGGAGGGGGAGAUGGAGAUGGAGGUGGUGGUGACUUGUAAUAGUAAGGUGGUGGUGGAGAAGGAGAGGGUGGUGGAGGAGACUUGUAUUCAUAGUGAGGCUUAGGAGAUGGUGGUGGUGGAGACUUGUAUUCAUAUGGUGGUGGUGGUGAUGGGGAAGGUGGUGGUGGUGACUUGUACUCAUAAUGAGGCUUAGGAGAUGGUGGUGGUGGUGACUUGUAUUCAUAAUGAGGUUUGGGAGAUGGAGGUGGUGGUGACUUGUCUUCAUAAGGUGGUGGUGGAGACGGAGAUGGUGGUGGGGGAGACUUGUAUUCAUAAGGGGGUGGUGGAGAUGGAGAUGGUGGGGGGGGGGACUUGUAUUCAUAAUGAGGCUUGGGAGAUGGAGGCGGUGGGGACUUGUAUUCAUAAGGCGGUGGUGGAGAUGGAGAUGGUGGGGGGGGGGACUUGUAUUCAUAAUGAGGCUUGGGAGAUGGAGGCGGUGGGGACUUGUAUUCAUAAGGCGGUGGUGGAGAUGGAGAUGGUGGGGGGGGGGACUUGUAUUCAUAAUGAGGCUUGGGAGAUGGAGGCGGUGGGGACUUGUAUUCAUAAGGUGGUGGUGGAGAUGGAGAAGGUGGUGGGGGAGACUUGUACUCAUAAUGAGGCUUGGGAGAUGGAGGCGGUGGGGACUUGUAUUCAUAAGGUGGUGGGGGAGAUGGAGAAGGUGGUGGGGGCGACUUGUACUCAUAAUGAGGUUUAGGAGAUGGAGGUGGUGGUGACUUAUAUUCAUAAGGUGGGGGUGGGGAUGGAGAAGGUGGGGGGGGAGACUUGUACUCAUAAUGAGGUUUAGGAGAUGGAGGUGGUGGUGACUUAUACUCAUAAGGUGGUGGAGGAGAAGGAGAUGGUGGUGGUGGUGACUUAUAUUCAUAAGGUGGUGGUGGGGAUGGAGAAGGUGGUGGGGGAGACUUGUACUCAUAAUGAGGUUUAGGAGAUGGAGGUGGUGGUGACUUAUACUCAUAAGGUGGGGGAGGAGAAGGAGAUGGUGGUGGUGGUGACUUAUAUUCAUAAGGUGGUGGUGGGGAUGGAGAUGGAGGUGGAGGAGACUUGUACUCGUAAUGAGGUUUAGGAGAUGGUGGUGGGGGUGACUUGUACUCAUAAGGAGGUGGUGGAGAAGGAGAAGGUGGAGGUGGUGACUUAUAUUCAUAAUGAGGUUUAGGUGAUGGUGGAGGUGGUGAUUUAUACUCAUAAGGAGGUGGUGGAGAAGGAGAAGGUGGAGGUGGAGAAUAGUAAGGAUAAGCAUCUCCUGAUACUGAACUUACACUACUUGAAACAAAAACUACAGCCAACGCUAUGGCCAAGUGAGGCCAAAGACGACCCCACCCGGGGCCGCCGCCGGAACUUCUCAUUUCUU
RNAcentral lists this long non-coding RNA (1397 nucleotides) under Jatropha curcas. RNAcentral describes it as "long non-coding RNA (JCUR_LNC000682)". The record is from RNAcentral. Lineage: Eukaryota; Viridiplantae; Streptophyta; Magnoliopsida; Malpighiales; Euphorbiaceae.